Molecule: ribosomal RNA, 434 nt
Filed under: uncultured Salmonella sp.
Lineage: Bacteria; Pseudomonadati; Pseudomonadota; Gammaproteobacteria; Enterobacterales; Enterobacteriaceae
Description: bacterial SSU rRNA
Rfam family: Bacterial small subunit ribosomal RNA
Source: RNAcentral
AACGCGAAGAACCUUACCUGGUCUUGACAUCCACAGAACCUUGUAGAGAUACGAGGGUGCCUUCGGGAACUGUGAGACAGGUGCUGCAUGGCUGUCGUCAGCUCGUGUUGUGAAAUGUUGGGUUAAGUCCCGCAACGAGCGCAACCCUUAUCCUUUGUUGCCAGCGGUCCGGCCGGGAACUCAAAGGAGACUGCCAGUGAUAAACUGGAGGAAGGUGGGGAUGACGUCAAGUCAUCAUGGCCCUUACGACCAGGGCUACACACGUGCUACAAUGGCGCAUACAAAGAGAAGCGACCUCGCGAGAGCAAGCGGACCUCAUAAAGUGCGUCGUAGUCCGGAUUGGAGUCUGCAACUCGACUCCAUGAAGUCAGAAUCGCUAGUAAUCGUGGAUCAGAAUGCCACGGUGAAUACGUUCCCGGGUCUUGUACACACGC